This 1955-nucleotide ribosomal RNA is filed under the name Horadandia atukorali (golden rasbora). RNAcentral's name for it is "16S rRNA". The stretch from base 96 to 1764 matches the Rfam family "Bacterial large subunit ribosomal RNA". Lineage: Eukaryota; Metazoa; Chordata; Actinopteri; Cypriniformes; Danionidae. The record is from RNAcentral.
GCAAAACAACUAGCUUAAUUAUUAACACUAAUCAAACAACAUAAAUAAAAAAUUUUAGCCUAAAACAAUAAAUUAAACCAUUUUUCACCUUAGUAUGGGAGACAGAAAAGGACCACUUUAAAGCAAUAGAAAAAGUACCGCAAGGGAAAGUUGAAAGAGAAAUGAAAUAACCCAUAUAAGCAAAAAAAAACAAAGACUAAAUCUUGUACCUUUUGCAUCAUGAUUUAGCAAGUACAAUCAAGCAAAGAGACCUUUAGUUUGAAACCCCGAAACCAAGUGAGCUACCCCGAGACAGCCUAUAUAAAUUAGGGCCAACCCGUCUCUGUGGCAAAAGAGUGGGAAGAGCUCCGGGUAGAAGUGACAGACCUAUCGAACUUGGUGAUAGCUGGUUGCCUAGGAAAUGAAUAUAAGUUCAGCCUCGUAAGACCUAAAUCAAAAUAAAUCAUAUAAGAUAACUUAAGGAAAAGCACGAGAGUUAGUUUAAGGAGGUUCAGCCCCUUAAACAAAGGACACAACCUUAAAAGGAGAAUAAAGAUCAUAUUACACAAAAUAUUUUGUCUUAGUGGGCCUAAAAGCAGCCACCUAAACAGAAAGCGUUAAAGCUCAGACAAACAAGAAUUUAUUAUCCCGAUAAAUUAUCUUACUUCCCCAAAAAUACUAGGCUAUUCCAUGCACCCAUGGAAGAAAUUAUGCUAAAAUGAGUAACAAGAAGAACUAAUCUUCUCCUGGCACAAGUGUAAGUCAGAUCGGACCUACCACUGAUAAAUAACGAACCCAAACAAAGAGGGCAAUAUGAACAACUUAGUAACCAAGAAAAUCUCAUAACCCAAAAUCGUUAACCCCACACUGGAGUGCACCAAAGGAAAGACUAAAAGAUAAGGAAGGAACUCGGCAAACCCAAGCCUCGCCUGUUUACCAAAAACAUCGCCUCUUGAACUAUUAAAAUAUAAGAGGUCCAGCCUGCCCAGUGACUACAAGUUCAACGGCCGCGGUAUUUUAACCGUGCAAAGGUAGCGCAAUCACUAGUCCUUUAAAUGGGGACCUGUAUGAAUGGUUAGACGAGGGCUUAACUGUCUCCCUUAUCCGGUCAGUGAAAUUGAUCUAUCCGUGCAGAAGCGGGUAUAAUUAUACAAGACGAGAAGACCCUUUGGAGCUUAAGGUACAAAACUCACCCAUAUUAAGCAAGCCCUUAAAAUAUAUAAAUAUAAUGACUAAUGAGAAUUUACCUUCGGUUGGGGCGACCACGGAGCAAAAAACAGCCUCCGAGUGGAUUGGAUAAAUUCCAAAACCAAGAAAGACACCUCUAAGUAACAGAACAUCUGACCAAAUAUGACCCGGCCCAAAGCCGAUUAACGAACCAAGUUACCCAAGGGAUAACAGCGCAAUCCUCUUCCAGAGUCCAUAUCGACGAGAGGGUUUACGACCUCGAUGUUGGAUCAGGACAUCCUAAUGGUGCAGCCGCUAUUAAGGGUUCGUUUGUUCAACGAUUAAAGUCCUACGUGAUCUGAGUUCAGACCGGAGUAAUCCAGGUCAGUUUCUAUCUGUAAUGCUAGUUUUUCCCAGUACGAAAGGAUCGGAAAAAGGGGGCCCAAUCCAAAAGCACGCCCCACCCCAAAUUAAUGAAUUUAAAUAAAUUAAAUAAAGGGAGAGCAUAAUUCACCUCCUAAUCAAGGAGUUGUUAGGGCACAAAACUUAAUAGCACAUGCUUGUAGACCUUAAAAGAGGUUUAAACCCCCUCCCUAACACACCUGACAAAUCCUCAGAAUUGUCAGACAUUAGAAUCCGGCAACCAAAAAAGACCCGGGCCUUAAAAAUAAUACCAGGACUUGUAAAAUGGUGAAGUAGGUAAUUAAAAAAUACCGAACCCCAAAAACAAGCCCUAAAACUUUUUAGGUGUGGCAGCGCCCGGUAAACAUAAAAGACCCAGAAACCCCAAGAAAUAUCACCCAAAGCCU